GACGAACGCUGGCGGCGUGCUUAACACAUGCAAGUCGAACGAAGAGCGACGGAAGCUUGCUUCUAUCAAUCUUAGUGGCGAACGGGUGAGUAACGCGUAAUCAACCUGCCCUUCAGAGGGGGACAACAGUUGGAAACGACUGCUAAUACCGCAUACGAUCUAAUCUCGGCAUCGAGGAUGGAUGAAAGGUGGCCUCUACAUGUAAGCUAUCACUGAAGGAGGGGAUUGCGUCUGAUUAGCUAGUUGGAGGGGUAACGGCCCACCAAGGCGAUGAUCAGUAGCCGGUCUGAGAGGAUGAACGGCCACAUUGGGACUGAGACACGGCCCAGACUCCUACGGGAGGCAGCAGUGGGGAAUCUUCCGCAAUGGACGAAAGUCUGACGGAGCAACGCCGCGUGAGUGAUGACGGCCUUCGGGUUGUAAAGCUCUGUUAAUCGGGACGAAAGGCCUUCUUGCGAAUAGUGAGAAGGAUUGACGGUACCGGAAUAGAAAGCCACGGCUAACUACG
RNAcentral lists this ribosomal RNA (508 nucleotides) under uncultured bacterium. RNAcentral describes it as "partial 16S ribosomal RNA". It matches the Rfam family "Bacterial small subunit ribosomal RNA", at positions 28 to 505 of the family's 1533-position model. The record is from RNAcentral.